RNAcentral lists this unclassified non-coding RNA (1514 nucleotides) under Hevea brasiliensis (rubber tree). Lineage: Eukaryota; Viridiplantae; Streptophyta; Magnoliopsida; Malpighiales; Euphorbiaceae. The record is from RNAcentral.
GCUAUUAAGGGUCAGAUCUAUGACGUCUCCCAGAGCAGGUAUAAAAUAAAAAAUUUUUGGUUUGGGUUUUCGGUUUGUCAAUUUUGUGGGUUUACUUUUUUCAGGUUUCCAUUCUUUUGGGUCAGCGGGUGUUUUAGCUGCUGUGUGAUAGAAAUUUCUAGAAAAUUAUUACUUGGGUUGGGAAAAUUUUAAUUUCUUUUAGAUGAUAGAUUGAUUUAGAGUUGACCGUUUCUGAUCUCUUUCACCUUUUCUCUAUCAUCCGUUUUAGCCACUACUACACUUUAUAGUUGGUGACCUGCUUUAUGCUUGCUUUUUGGUCUCUGAUAAAAAGAUGCUACUUUUGUAUAUUCUUCUUUUUUUUGUUGAAAACUUUUGUAUGUUCAACAAGUGAAAAUUGUGCAAUUUCUUAAUUCUUUUUAUAGAUUACUAGUACAGUACUUUUAAAUAUUAAAAAAAAUUAUUGCUAUAUUCUUUUAAUUUUCAAAUAUAUGUUUUCUGGGGUUUCUGGAGAAUCUAGCAUGUGACUGUUGCAAAUCUUCAACUUUGUUUCUCGUGAUGAAUGAUUAAUUUUGAGUUCUUUGAUUUGAAUUAUUGGACUGAUUAUCUGCCUUCUCCUCUCUCUGGUUACUGCGUUCCUAAUGAGUAAAUGAUGUUAAAUUAUGGAGAUUCUGUGAAGCAAGAUUGAUUAGAUAAUUUAAAAUUCGAGCUUUCAGCAACUCAUGCUAAAUAUCUUAUUCAAACUUGUAAGUACAAGAAGAACUUAAUUGGGAUUUCAAUGUACAGAGGUUGCAAUUUGCAAUAGAAUAGCUGUACUAUCUCCAUGUAAUAGAGGGAUAUCAAUGUGCAAUUUGCACUCACUAUGAGUCUUGUGAUUCUAGGAGUUGAUUGGCAUUCAGCGGAAGGUUGCUAGUUUGUUGUAUCCAUUGUUUUAUGUUUCUAUGACCUCACUGGAAUGUUUAUUUUGUUUUAUGCAAGUAACAAAAUGUAGCUGGGUUUGAUAUGUCAUGAUUAUUGUGAAUCUUAGAUUUGCAGCCGUCUUUUCUUCCUUUCUCCUUUUUGAUUGAUUUGGCUUCAUUUUGUGUAAUCCAGUUCUGCAUAUUUACUAAAUAUCAUUUGUUGCUGUUUGUAAUUAUAUUGUGUAAUGUCAUGAACAACUAGAUCUGCGUAGUCAUAUAAUUGCAGCUGAUUUGUGGCAUUUGAAAUGCAUUGCAUGGAUCAUAACUUCUCAGUGAUAUAAUAUCUAAUUAAGAAUAUCACAUCGUGCAUCAUGCUAUGUCUAUCACAUUGAGACAGAAAACCUUUGUGCAUGCUUUUUUACUUGAUUUGUAUUUUUAACAUUUUUAGAAGAGAGUUUGGUUGUUCUGUCGGUAUGAAUUGUAUGAUGGAAUUUUGAACUUCUUCCACCAAUGCACAAAUUUUUUGCUAAUACAAUUUGCAGAAACUACUUAUAAUUUGUUAUGUAUUACCAUUGUCGCAGGAUGUUUUAUGGGCCUGGUGGACCUUAUGCAUUAUUU